UUUGUAAUGAUGAAAAAAGGUUUUGUUUGCUCUUGAAUAAUGUCCAUGUACUAGCUAAAAUCAGCUGUCCAAUCUCGUACCAAUGUUUCACCUAAUCAAAAUUUUUCUUCCUUUAAUUUUUUCUAUAAUGUUUGUUACAAAUUUUAAUAUUUGCUAAUGGAUACACAGCAGUAAAAAAGGUCAAUACCCUAUGUAAUCUAAAUGUCCCAAUGG
Molecule: long non-coding RNA, 213 nt
Filed under: Mytilus galloprovincialis (Mediterranean mussel)
Lineage: Eukaryota; Metazoa; Mollusca; Bivalvia; Mytilida; Mytilidae
Source: RNAcentral